AAAUGCUUCCCCAAUUGCUCCUCCAGCUAAGCCUCGUGCUAAGCUUUCAAAACAGAACUAACUGGGGUAGACAGAAAUGCAAUAGGGGGCACCCUGCCAUGGCCUCUGGCCCCAGAUGACCCCAGAACUUUCUUCUUGCACCAUGCAGCCAACGGUGGCCUUAAACUCCUGAUCCUGAUGCUCCUGCCUCUAUCUCUAGAGUGCUGGGUUUAUAUGCACGUGUCACCAUGCCCAGCUCACGUGGUGGGCCCUUCAAGAACUGGAACUUCGUAGUCCUCAUCCAGUGGCUGAUGGAAGCAGAGACAGACAUCCACAGAAAUACACUGAGC
Cricetulus griseus (Chinese hamster) is the source of this 329-nucleotide non-coding RNA. NCBI's taxonomy places the organism in Eukaryota, Metazoa, Chordata, Mammalia, Rodentia, Cricetidae. The record is from RefSeq and is a predicted model, not a curated record.